GCCCGCAGCCUGCGGCAGAGGCCGGGGGAGCGGGCCGCGGUGCAGGCCCGGGCUGCGGCCGCUCGCGGGGGCGCCCGCCGGCUGAGGCUGCUGCCGCCUGCCCUGGGGGCAACGCGCGCCCCCGGCCUUCCGAGGGGCCCGGAGUCUGUGAUGGGCCAGCGGGGCGGCGGGGAGAGCAGCUAGCAAGCGCUUAAGGAGCGGACGUAACAGUGCGCCGCGAACGUCCCCCUGGCUUUCCGUUAUUGCCGCGCUGUCAAACACAAGCAAAGUUACCGUGAAAAUCCAGAUCCCCGUCUUGGCUGUGUCAGAUUCGUGGUUCCUGAAGGCCUGUAAUGAUGCUGGAAUUGUUUAGCUGCCGGCUGAGAUGUACAGUAUGCUCUCCUGGAUAAGCUGUUCUUCUGAAAGUGCCCAUUUUAGUGUGGUGCGUUUGCUGUGAUAAAAUCCCACACUCCCUCCCUUCCUCUGAAGAAUAAUGACACUCUCAUCUGAAAGAAUGAGAUCUUUUUCUUUCUCUUUUGUUCUGUUUUGUCAGUGUCAGCUCUGACGAGGUGACAGACAAACAGCUAGUACCUUGAAGAUCGACGUGCUUUAUUGUGUAAAUUUCUGGCCUGAUAGUUUACACACGGUAUUGUCUGGCUGAAAUGCACCAGGGUCUUCUGUAGGUGCUUUUCUACCCUGGGAGCUGGGUUUUAUUUGGGAAAACCAAUAAAAAUGUUAAUUCCAACAGAA
This is a long non-coding RNA of Falco peregrinus (peregrine falcon), 729 nucleotides long. RefSeq lists it as uncharacterized. NCBI's taxonomy places the organism in Eukaryota, Metazoa, Chordata, Aves, Falconiformes, Falconidae. The record is from RefSeq and is a predicted model, not a curated record. The transcript is spliced from 2 exons.